AGGGACUUAGGUUAGAGCAGUAGACCAAGGGCCUUCAAAGCCCUCUGCGAGGGUGCAACCCCCUCAGACCCUA
This 73-nucleotide transfer RNA is filed under the name Halichoeres melanurus (tail-spot wrasse). RNAcentral's name for it is "tRNA-Trp". It matches the Rfam family "tRNA". Rfam says of the family: Transfer RNA (tRNA) molecules are approximately 80 nucleotides in length. Their secondary structure includes four short double-helical elements and three loops (D, anti-codon, and T loops). Lineage: Eukaryota; Metazoa; Chordata; Actinopteri; Labriformes; Labridae. The record is from RNAcentral.